AGGAUGAACGCUGGCGGCGUGCCUAACACAUGCAAGUCGAACGUCCUGUCUCGCAAGAGGCAGGGAGUGGCGGACGGGUGAGUACCACGUGGGUCAUCUACCGUGAGGUGAGGAAUACCGGCGAGAAAUCGCCGACAAGACCGCAUAGGCUCGAUGCAAGUCGAGCAAAGCUCUUUCGAGAGAGGGAGCGCCACACGAGGAGCCUGCGCCCGAUUAGCUAGCUGGUGGAGUAACGGUUCACCAGGGCGACGAUCGGUAGCUGGUCUGAGAGGACGAUCAGCCACACUGGGAUUGAGAACGGCCCAGACUCCUACGGGGGGCAGCAGUGAGGAAUUUUCGUCAAUGGGGGCAACCCUGAACGAGCAACGCCGCGUGCAGGAAGAAGGUUUCGGAUCGUAAACUGCUUUUCGUCGGGGAAGAGAACGGACGGUACCCGAGGAAUCGAGCCCCGGCUAACUACGUGCCAGCAGCCGCGGU
RNAcentral lists this ribosomal RNA (477 nucleotides) under uncultured bacterium. RNAcentral describes it as "SSU rRNA". It matches the Rfam family "Bacterial small subunit ribosomal RNA", at positions 26 to 521 of the family's 1533-position model. The record is from RNAcentral.